GCCGGGCGUAGUAGCGGGCGCCUGUAAUCCCAGCUACUCGGGAGGCUGAGGCAGGAGAAUCACUUGAACCCGGGAGGCGGAGGUUGCAGUGGGCCAAGAUCCUGCCACUGCACUCCAGCCCAGGUGACAGAGUGAGACUCUGUCUCAA
This is an unclassified non-coding RNA of Macaca fascicularis (crab-eating macaque), 148 nucleotides long. It matches the Rfam family "Metazoan signal recognition particle RNA". Rfam says of the family: The signal recognition particle (SRP) is a universally conserved ribonucleoprotein. Lineage: Eukaryota; Metazoa; Chordata; Mammalia; Primates; Cercopithecidae. The record is from Ensembl.